GACGAACGCUGGCGGCGUGCCUAAUACAUGCAAGUAGAACGCACAGUUUAUACCGUAGCUUGCUACACCAUAGACUGUGAGUUGCGAACGGGUGAGUAACGCGUAGGUAACCUGCCUGGUAGCGGGGGAUAACUAUUGGAAACGAUAGCUAAUACCGCAUAAUAUUGAUUAUUGCAUGAUAAUUAAUUGAAAGGUGCAAUUGCACCACUACCAGAUGGACCUGCGUUGUAUUAGCUAGUAGGUGAGGUAACGGCUCACCUAGGCGACGAUACAUAGCCGACCGGAGAGGGUGAUCGGCCACACUGGGACGGAGACACGGCCCAGACUCAUACGGGAGGCAGCAGUAGGGAAUCUUCGGCAAUGGACGAAAGUCUGACCGAGCAACGCCGCGUGAGUGAAGAAGGUUUUCGGAUCGUAAAGCUCUGUUGUAAGAGAAGAACGGGUGUGAGAGUGGAAAGUUCACACUGUGACGGUAGCUUACCAGAAAGGGACGGCUAACUACGUG
RNAcentral lists this ribosomal RNA (505 nucleotides) under uncultured bacterium. RNAcentral describes it as "partial 16S ribosomal RNA". It matches the Rfam family "Bacterial small subunit ribosomal RNA", at positions 28 to 507 of the family's 1533-position model. The record is from RNAcentral.